Molecule: ribosomal RNA, 252 nt
Filed under: uncultured bacterium
Lineage: Bacteria
Description: partial 16S ribosomal RNA
Rfam family: Bacterial small subunit ribosomal RNA
Source: RNAcentral
GAUCUGGCUCAGGAUGAACGCUAGCUACAGGCUUAACACAUGCAAGUCGAGGGGAAACGACAGAGGAAGCUUGCUUUCUUUGGGCGUCGACCGGCGCACGGGUGAGUAACGCGUAUCCAACCUUCCCGCAAGUAAGGGAUAACCCGUAGAAAUGCGGCCUAAUACCUUAUGUUUUCCUUAGAGGGCAUCUGAUGAGGAACAAAGAUCCGUCGCUUGCGGAUGGGGAUGCGUCUGAUUAGUUAGUCGGCGGGG